CCUGAGAAACGGCUACCACAUCCAAGGAAGGCAGCAGGCACGCAAAUUACCCACUCCCGGCACGGGGAGGUAGUGACAAAAAAUAACGAUACGGGACUCUUAUGAGGCCCCGUAAUCGGAAUGAGUACACUUUAAAUCCUUUAACAAGGAUCCAUUGAAGGGCAAGUCUGGUGCCAGCAGCCGCGGUAAUUCCAGCUUCAAUAGCGUAUAUUAAAGUUGUUGCGGUUAAAAAGCUCGUAGUUGGUUCUGCGUGCCACGCUGUCGGUUCGCCGCCUGCCGGUGUAACUGGCAUGCCGUGGCAUGUCCUGUCGGUGGCGUUCGGGAGCCUCGUCUAGGUGACGGCCCUUGCCACAAGCUUGGUGUCCGGAGGCCGGGGGUAUACUCGUUCGCCUACUCUAUCCUACCUAGGUGCUCUUCACCGAGUGUCGAGGUAGGCCGACACGUUUACUUUGAACAAAUUAGAGUGCUCAAAGCAGGCUGAAAUCUCUGCCUGAAUAGUGGUGCAUGGAAUAAUAAAACAGGACCUUGGUUCUAUUUUGUUGGUUUUAGGAAUCCAAGGUAAUGAUCAAUAAGGACAGACGGGGGCAUUCGUAUUGCGACGUUAGAGGUGAAAUUCUUGGACCGUCGCAAGACGACCGAGAGCGAAAGCAUUUGCCAAGUAUGUCUUGAUUGAUCAAGAACGAAAGUUAGAGGUUCGAAGGCGAUCAGAUACCGCCCUAGUUCUAACCAUAAACGAUGCCAGCCAGCGAUCCGCCGAUGUUCCUCCGAUGACUCGGCGGGGAGCUUCCGGGAAACCAAAGCUUUUGGGUUCCGGGGGAAGUAUGGUUGCAAAGCUGAAACUUAAAGGAAUUGACGGAAGGGCACCACCAGGAGUGGAGCCUGCGGCUUAAUUUGACUCAACACGGGAAACCUCACCAGGCCAGGACAUUGGAAGGAUUGACAGAUUGAUAGCUCUUUCUUGAUUCAGUGGGUAGUGGUGCAUGGCCGUUCUUAGUUGGUGGAUCGAUUUGUCUGGUUAAUUCCGAUAACGAACGAGACUC
RNAcentral lists this ribosomal RNA (1040 nucleotides) under Lygus lineolaris (tarnished plant bug). RNAcentral's name for it is "SSU rRNA". It matches the Rfam family "Eukaryotic small subunit ribosomal RNA", at positions 395 to 1343 of the family's 1831-position model. The record is from RNAcentral. Lineage: Eukaryota; Metazoa; Arthropoda; Insecta; Hemiptera; Miridae.